Molecule: long non-coding RNA, 1312 nt
Organism: Phacochoerus africanus (Common warthog)
Lineage: Eukaryota; Metazoa; Chordata; Mammalia; Artiodactyla; Suidae
Exons: 2
Source: RefSeq, a predicted model, not a curated record
CACGCGGAGGCGUCGCCUAGCCAGGCAGCUGUCACUGGUAGAGAAAAGAGCAGUUUCCGUGGAGCCGGGGCCGGGAAGGAGGUGGCCAGGGAAGCGGGUUGGAGCAGAGAGAACCGACAACCCUCUCAAGACCUUCACCUGGAAGGGGAAGAGAGGGAGCAGGAGCUGCAGGGGGCAGGAGGUCUGGAAAAGAUGACUCUUUAUUAUCACUGCCGUGGUCGUCAUCGUCGUCGUCCUUCGUGGGAGAAGCUGAUGCACAUUAAAAUGCUGGCAGGGAGAAGAGCGUGGGAUGGAAGAGCUUCUGUUUUCGGCUUGAUGAACCCGGGAAACGGCCACGUGACAGAGGAGAGAUCCCGGAAGAAGCUGGCGAAAGACUGUCCUCCUACCGUCCUUUCACUCCCAGUUGACCUCCGCCGAGCGCUCAGAGCCAAGGCCAGCCUGCGUGAGGGCAGGGCCCCAGCGCAGCCCAGGGGCAGCUCCCUGGCGCUCCCGCAGGCAGGGCUACCAGGGCCUUUCCAGCCGCAGUCUGACCCCUUGUCUCCCUUCUAGAACCAGCCCUUUCUCCUCUGGUCCAUUUUAACUUAAUUGCACUCAAAUCAGUUCCUCGGCCUGGACCUUUUUUAGGCAUUAGCAACUGGAGGAGUGUUGUUGUAUUACUUCACAUUUUCCAAACCCACUUCACACAGAUGGAAUCUCUUGUGCUCCUAUAAGGCCAAGCACAGAAGAGGAACAGUGCCAAGGAGGCUGGGCCCGGGCCUCGCUUUAGUGCAGUUAGAAUGGUCUUAUUUCUUUUGACAUCUUGAUAAAUCUUUCUGUGCUGGAUUUGGGAGAUUUCAACCCUGAGGAAUGCUCGUACCCCGUUUGUUCAUUCAACAAACGCUGCCUGGCAUCUGCUGUGAGCCAGCCUGUGCCCUGCGUGUCACCUUCUUUGUCAGGCUUUCUCUCUCUUGGUCUCCACCCCAAUUCUACACGUUAGGUUCAGCAUCCCUGUUCUCCUCAGCCGUGAAACUGAUGCUAGGAGAGGGGUCACCCAGGAAAUGAGUGACAGGGAUUUGGAGCAAGGUGUUCUGGCUGUUAAGUCUUUUGCUCCUUUCCUUUUAUCAAGAUAACCUCUCAGUGUUUCACUCUGUUGAGGUUUUAGUUUUAAAUGUUAUAUGUCUUCUAGUAUGAAAGGGUCCUUGGAGAAUUGUCAGAACCCAAGAAUGGCACAUACGGUUUUGAAUCAGGGUCUUAGAAAUGUUCAAAGCAAACAAAUUUGGGGCAGGAGUGUAACGUCCUUGCUCUGGUUCCUGUCUGCCUGACAUCCACAAAA